This is a long non-coding RNA of Cavia porcellus (domestic guinea pig), 5264 nucleotides long. RefSeq lists it as uncharacterized. The transcript has 3 exons. NCBI's taxonomy places the organism in Eukaryota, Metazoa, Chordata, Mammalia, Rodentia, Caviidae. The record is from RefSeq and is a predicted model, not a curated record.
GAGCUUCGAGUCUGCUCAGGAGAGAGUGGUGUGAACGCUGGGUAAAACCACAAAGUGAAUUUAAUUACCCUGCGCAAACAUAAAUUCACAAGGCAACAGACGGUAAGAAAUUGAGAACUCUGCAAAAGGGUCAGCAAAAAAAGAGAUUUCACAGACGAAGUGGAGUGGUAAAAAGACCAGGGAGAGACGGAGAGUGGGGAACCAAGGGAGUAAAGGACAGGAGGAGGUACCUGCCAGCUACGUUCUGGGCCGUUUUUGCAGAUAAGGCUCAAAAACCUCACAGCUACCUCCUGAAGUGGCAUCAAAAGAGGUGACUUGUCCCAGCAGGGCCCUGCAGAAGGUCAGGUGAGUGACCUCGGCGAGGAUGCAGCCAACCUUCAGAAGCAAGAAAUUUCAAAGACUACAUAUAUCUACAUAUAUGUUACCCGUCAUGGUGGGAGACGCCCUCCUGAUUCCACCUGAGACCCUCUUCCAGGUAAUCUGUGUAAUUAGAAGAGGAAGAGAACAGGGAAAAGAAGCGGAGACUGAAUUCCCUUCUUAUGCUGGCACACAUCGGUCAUCUGGAUAAACUGGAAAUCACUGAUGAGAAUCCUGUGGGAUAACUAGGCAGCCAGUGGCAUCGGCACAUCAUACCCCUUCAGUAAUAACUGUCAUGAUAAAACUACCGCUGACCGACUGUCCUUAAAGGGCCGAGACUCCAGAUCAAGCUGUGCACCAUUGGCCAGGGGACUUCCAACCCCAGUUCUGGUUCCCUCUGUGUCCCCUGACUGGCUCCCAGCCCACCUUGAGCAGAGGGAGAAGGUAACAGGUCCACACUCCUCCUCGCUCUCCGGUCUUCCCCUCUGCAUUCCUUCCAUCCACACAGGAGCACACCACCGGCUGAGCUCCGGGACUCCUGGAGACAUUUAUUGGAUGUCUGGCCUAAGUGCUGGGGACCAAACAUUCAGAAGCUUCCUGAGAUGGGCUCUGAACACGACUGUGGCCCAUGGAAGCGGUUCUCGAAUCUGAAAGAGCAUCCCAUUACUAGAAAUCUUGCCAAAACACAAAUUUCUAAGUGCCUCCCAGAAAUCUGAGUGCCAUACCCUGAAGUUUCCUAGUGAGGCCUAAGAAUUUGCAUUUGAAACUACUGUUUGGAACUGGGGACCACACCCUGAGCUCCUAGCUGGCUUUCUGGCCCCACCAGUAGAGUUACUUCUGACACUGGGAGACCCUGUCAUGGGACAGGGUAGAGCUGUGGUCAGCAUCCUUCAGGGACCACCUGGGAUGCUGGGUCACCACUCAGGAUCUUGAGACACUGGGAGAGGAAGGAGAGAAGGGUUAAUGUCCAGCACUUAGCUGGCAGUCCCCGGAGGGCAGGGGCUGUCUGGAGCUUCCUGAGAAUCCCACUCGCUCCUCCCCUGAUUCCGGCAGUGUCAGGGUUUUUCCACAGUAGAUGUUCGAUCAAUAUUCAUUGAUGAGGAUUCAUUGAAGAGGAAGAACCUACCUACAGCCCAGGCCAGCCAUAAAAUGCAAACAGCAGUCACUCAAUAAAUAUUUAUAGAGCAUCCUCUAUCUACUAUGUCCAGAGGGUCUAAGCCCAGCUGUUAUUUAUUCACUGUUAUUAUGCUUACGGAUCAACCCGAUCUGGUGCUCAGCACAGAAUGAAUUCUUCAGGGAUGCAGUUUGCCUUCCAGAACCUGUUCACCCAAGUGUUAUUCUGACCUGCACCGUCUUUUUCUCUGAGCCUAGGUUUCUUUUCCUCUUUGUACAAAUGACAUGCUAGUAUUUCUUAGAGACACACGACACUUUUGAAUUUGCUACUCACCACGUGACUACAAAUAUACCCAUUUCUCCAAACAUCCUUAUGGUCUCCUCUCCUGAUUUCCUAAAGGAGAAACUUCCUGUAAAGCCAGUCCCCCCACCUGUGCUGUGGUCAUCCCCCCUGUGGGGCCUCAGCUGCUUAGGUUCGUCACUUCUGUUCCUCUUCCCCCUGCAUCUGGAACCUCCCUCUCCCCCUGACGCAUCUCAGAAAACAGCCCAGGUCUUAAAAACAUAAGCAAACCAGCCAGCAAAUUGCCUGGCUGCCUCCUUCUGUAAAUCUCUGUGCAGUGUUUGCUCCUCCUCUGGAGAGUUCUUGGAAAUCUGGGCCACCCCUUGCCAACUUCCCUUCCUGCUCCCGUCAUCACAGCAGGCUGGCUCGCGGCCACCCGUUCACUUACGCGGCCUCGUCGAGGUCGUGCUGACCUCUGUACUUACAAGUCCUGCGGUAGAGAUACAUGUCUUACCUUACCCGACCUCCUGAUGCAUUUGGUGCAAGGGGCCACUCCCUCCCUGAAGCUGGCUUCUCCGUGAAGCCCAUCCGGGUCCCAGCUGCCUCCCACACACGGGCCUUCAAAUCCCAUGUAGCAAAGCUGGACUUGGUUUCCCCUCCAAACCAAACUAUCCUCACCUCCGUCUAAUUUAUGACAGCGCCAGUGUCUCGCACAGCAGCUCACCCAAACCAGGAAUUUCAGUCCUUUCCAACCCUUCUUUUCUGCCCUACGGAUUCAGGUGCUUAUUUAAUCCUAUUAUCUUCCCUCCCCUAAUGUCUAUGAGAUUUGCUUCUGUCACUUUUUCCAACUAUUGGUACAAUUUUGGGGAUGUGAUAGUGCUCACCUGAAUCACUUCCACACCUCCUAGAUAGUGGAGCCUUCUCCAGCCUCUCCUUAUAUUAUAGCAAACAAUCGGUCCUAAAGUCCGCAGACAGAGACACAGUGCGGUUAAGGAGAGAGAGUUCCCGCCCUCAGAUGCAGGCACGAGCCUUCUACCAGCUGGGUGAGGUGGAGCGAGUUUAUUUGCCUUCCCUGUGCCUCGGUUUCUUCUAGUGAGGGUGCUAAUCUUCAGAACAGAGUUCUCGCAAUACAUGUUAAGGUAUGUAGGUGUGCGUACCUGGCAUACAGAAGGUGUUUGAGAAAUAGUUGUUAACUCUGCCCAAGGAUAACAUCAAAAAUUAGAACCAAAACUGAAUGACAUCACGCCCCACUUUAAAAUGAGUCCAUGCUCCCACAGGGCAGAGCAGGUCCGUGCUACAUUCCCAUCCUGCUCUUCGGGGUUCACACGCAACUUCACACUGCAGGCAUAAAGUGCAAACAAUGCACUCUCACAUUUCUGAAACUCUUACGGGCCUGGUAUACUCAUCCCCCACAUACCACACAAAGUCCUAUCCAUUCCCCAAACCCUGUGCAUUGUGAAGUCUAACAACAUCUGUCUGCCACCCCAAAAGGAAAGAAACCAUUACACAGAAUUCUCAUCUCACAUAUACUUGUGUGUAAACACAUGUGUGCAUAGACACAUGCACACACAUCGUCCUGUAUUACACUUGUGUAUUUGCACAUGCGUCUGUCUUGGAAUCUGAGUCCGCAAGGAGGUAGUGGGACUCAUCUCAGGGUACAUAAAACGUGCCCUAGAGGGACUCCUACACCAGUUACCUUCCUGGGGGCCUCGCGAUUUGGGAAAUGGUAGCGCAGCAGAUAGAUCGCUCCCAAAGACGACCUCACCCCCUUUCUCCUGCGCUGUAGAGGCGUCCUGUUCCAUCUCUCAGGGAACCGGAGGCCACAUCCUCCCUCUCCUCUGGAAUCCAGGCUGCUCCAGGUCUGCCUGGACCUGGAUAGCAUCAUGGAAGCAACAUUUGAGGUAUUUUAAGCUUGGACUUACAAGAACCGGAAGCUUCUGCUUUUCCCCUUUUUUGUAUCUGACUGCUAUAGAAGGCGCCCAAACACACGCAGAGCCCUCACUAGAAGGAAGCCAGAGCCCACUGGCAGCCAAAGCAAGCCUGUUCUCUCGCCACCCCCUGGGGAAGAGCUUGGCCAAGCGGCAGAGCCAGGCUGCUCCUCCUUUGGGUGGAGCAGGGAACCUUUCACCGGGAAUGGGACUUUGGCAAUUCAGUGCUGAAAUCCCUUCAGUCCCAGGCUGUCUGGCGGUGGGGUGCCCUCCCUCAGGACACAGCACUGCCGACUCUGUGGGGCAGGGGUCUCAGAGGCCUCUGAUGGAAAAGGACAUCUUUAGCUCCAAGGCUGAUUUUACCGUGAGUCAAACAAUCACUCUUGCGUCUGCUUCUGACCUCCAGUCAUGCUCAGCCCAGCCACGUGGUCUAGGAGCGGCUGCUGCAGCUCACACAGUGAACCCAAUUAAUACAGAGAAGACUACCCCAAAGUUACAUAGUGUGAAUUCCCAGUGAAGUGACAGCCCAAAUGUUAAGCCCCAAAUAGCGUCCCUCUUUAGAGUUCAAACUACAAAAAUUCAAAUACACAAAAAAGGAAGACAUCUCCAAUUUCUUAGCCUGCUCGGUCUCCUCCCGAUGGUGUUCAGGCCCCUUGACUGCCUCCUCAGCUGCGCUCCCAAGUAGCAGGUAAAGCUUCUCUGCGUCCUAAGACACAAGACCUCAGCUCUGCCUCCACCACCACUCUGGAGCCACCACAAGCGAAUCUGCACGCCAUGGCUGUGACAACCCUGUCCAGUGACCGGACCCUCAGAACCCGUUCACUGAUGAACCAGGCUUAUGGUAUAGAUCAUAGACCACAUAUCAACAUGAAGGCCAGUACUACCCUAGAGGACAGUGUGGACAGGGAAAAAGGAACCAGCACCAAGGGGGGAACUGGAAGGGUAGUGUCUCUCUGCUAACCCAGUGGGAGAGGAAGGAGGUGACCCAGAGGUUUGUCCCAGUCUGUGACUCCCAUGUCCUGUAUCCAGGUGAGAUGAUGCUGUGAAUUUCAGGGUCCCCUCCAAAUCUCAUGCUGAGAUUCACUGCUGUUUAGCAGCAUUAAGAAGUGAGACUUUAGGAGCUGAUGAGGCCAUGAAUAGAUUGACCCUCACGAAUGGAUAGCACUGCUACAGAGACAGUGGACUAGUAAUUGUGGCAGAGCGGUCUUGAUUUAAAAAAAAAAAAAGAUGAGUUCUACCACAUUUUUGCAAACACACAAUGACACAGCAAAAAGGCCCUCUCCAAAGGGGUGGCUUCUCAGCCACUGGAACCCAGAGCAAAUAAACUUGGAAUGUUUGUAAAUUACCUAGUCUGUGGUAUUCUGUGAUAGCAACAGAAAAGACUGUGAGUCUACACAUUUCCUGUUCUUGGAGGCCCUUAAAACUCUCUAUUACAACUGUGUUUUAAUAAAUAUCUGUUCCCAGAAGCCACAGAGCUUUACCUAAAACAGCAUUCUUAAGAAACCGCUUCUUAGGGAAAGUACUUUACACCAAGAUCCCCAUCUAUUUUGUUCCUUGAAAUAUCUUCCUAGAAGCACUGCAGAUUA